CAUUCCUAAUAUCUGAUUUGUGUCUAUUUAUCCUUUUACGUAGGGACUGUCCAGUUUGGCCGAUUUACAUAGCAGAGGGGCAUUGCUGGCACAUGAUGGCAUAUAUUACAUUGGUGGACGUGUAGGUAAAUGAACCAGUGAUGGUGUGGCUGAUCUGGUUAGGAC
Chelonia mydas (Green sea turtle) is the source of this 165-nucleotide long non-coding RNA. RefSeq lists it as uncharacterized. The transcript is spliced from 3 exons. NCBI's taxonomy places the organism in Eukaryota, Metazoa, Chordata, Testudines, Cheloniidae. The record is from RefSeq and is a predicted model, not a curated record.